RNAcentral lists this ribosomal RNA (253 nucleotides) under uncultured bacterium. RNAcentral describes it as "partial 16S ribosomal RNA". It matches the Rfam family "Bacterial small subunit ribosomal RNA", at positions 524 to 776 of the family's 1533-position model. The record is from RNAcentral.
UACGGAGGGUGCAAGCGUUAAUCGGAAUUACUGGGCGUAAAGCGCGCGUUGGCGGUUUUUUAAGUCGGAUGUGAAAGCCCCGGGCUCAACCUGGGAACUGCAUCCGAUACUGGAAGACUAGAAUGCGGGAGAGGGAGGUAGAAUUCCAUGUGUAGCAGUGAAAUGCGUAGAUAUAUGGAGGAAUACCAGUGGCGAAGGCGGCCUCCUGGCUCGACAUUGACGCUGAGGUGCGAAAGCGUGGGGAGCAAACGGG